This 473-nucleotide ribosomal RNA is filed under the name uncultured bacterium. Its description in RNAcentral is "bacterial SSU rRNA". It matches the Rfam family "Bacterial small subunit ribosomal RNA", at positions 38 to 507 of the family's 1533-position model. The record is from RNAcentral.
GGCGGCAGGCCUAACACAUGCAAGUCGAGCGGAUGAGUGGAGCUUGCUCCAUGAUUCAGCGGCGGACGGGUGAGUAAUGCCUAGGAAUCUGCCUGGUAGUGGGGACAACGUUUCGAAAGGAACGCUAAUACCGCAUACGUCCUACGGGAGAAAGCAGGGGACCUUCGGGCCUUGCGCUAUCAGAUGAGCCUAGGUCGGAUUAGCUAGUUGGUGAGGUAAUUGCUCACCAAGGCGACGAUCCGUAACUGGUCUGAGAGGAUGAUCAGUCACACUGGAACUGAGACACGGUCCAGACUCCUACGGGAGGCAGCAGUGGGGAAUAUUGGACAAUGGGCGAAAGCCUGAUCCAGCCAUGCCGCGUGUGUGAAGAAGGUCUUCGGAUUGUAAAGCACUUUAAGUUGGGAGGAAGGGUUGUAGAUUAAUACUCUGCAAUUUUGACGUUACCGACAGAAUAAGCACCGGCUAACUCUGUG